UGACAACUUAUUAGACUGAAGAUAAGAAACCUUAAAUGAUAACGAUGUGUGAUAAAAAAAUCCGAUACAAUAAUAAUCGUGGUGACUACAUCUGUUAUACAGAAGCCAAGAAUGGAAGAAACCUGUUUACUGCUCAUCCUGCUGCUCUCAGCAGUGACAAAGCAAACAGUGGUGAAAAUGAAGCUUCAGUCAGAGGCAGACAUGCACAGCACAGAGAUCCAGCAGCAGGUUUCACAGCAGGUCAGCAGUUCAGUCACCAACACAAACUUGACACAAGUUCAAACUAUGCUUCAUGUUUUUCAUCAUCUGCACAUUUUGUCCAGCUGUCAGGCCUCAUGCUGUCAGAAGGACUGACAGACUUCAGGAUUCAUUGCAGGAAAGUCCAGAGUUACCGUGACGACCAGUUGAAGAAGCAGGAUGUGGGCGGUGACUGCAAAACUGAAGUCUGACUGGACUGAACCACUUCAUGUGUGAAGUUAAUAACAUGCUGUGCUGAGCUGUCUCAUCCUUUACCUCACCUUGCACUGUUGCCAUAGUUAUUGUUGUAAUCUUAAUUUUGCACUUUCUUCAUUUCUUCUUAUUGUAUUUUAAAGAUUAAAUUAGCUUUCUUUUUUUUAAUUAAUGUUUUUGUGUUGUGCAAAUAAUCAACAGCUGUUUGUUUGAAAACGAUGUACACAUGUAGGUUGGUAUAUAUCACCUUUUUUUGCAAGGCCACCCGCUCGUCACCCCAUGCUCUCGACACAGGGAAACACAUUCUGCCUGGUAGACCUACCCUGGCACUUCUGCAGGUGAAGCCAAAGGCAAGAUAUGCUUCAUCAUAUUUUCUAGUGCUUGUCUUGGAUGAAGUUGGUUUGGAAACAUACUUGGCAAUGCUUCAUCUUCUGCUUUGGGUUUGUGUGGGAGCCCCUUCAAAAACCUGUCCAUUAUGCUAGCAGUGUCCAAGCAUUCUAUCUCGCCUUUUUUUUCAUAUCACGCCCCCUCUGCAAUGGCUCUACACCCCCACUAGGGGGCACGUCCCCCACUUUGGGAGCCUCUGGUAUGUAUAAAAGUAAAAACGGCUUUGAUUAUAAGAUGAUCAGACCAGUGAAACUCCCAUUUCUGUCAGUAUAAAAAGGACACAUGUUUAAGAGUUUUGUUACUCAGACAGAAAUACAAGUUUUGUUGGCUCAUCAUCCACACUGUCUGCUUAUUUUUUUUCCCUUUAAACUGUAAAAACAAACAGCACCUCUGUAGUGAAAAUCAGAAAGUUUUCAAACUUUUCUGUCAUUUAAUGUUUAUUGUUUAACUACUUUAUAAAGUGUGAAUGGCCACACAGAAGGCUUUUAUCAUUAGAAAAACCUUUAAAACUUACAAGAAAAAGAUGCUGACCGAGCUUUUCCUGAUGUUCAUUCUUUUAGUUGCUGUUUCAAUACCAACUAGGCCUGCACACAGGCAUUUGGACAAGUGGACCCAAACUGAGUCGACUCAUUUAUCUUUUUAUUUAUUCAGCUGUAUUCUAAACACCAGCUGCCUGUUGUAGGUUUUGGAGUGUUUGUGUGAUAUUUG
This 1545-nucleotide long non-coding RNA is filed under the name Oreochromis niloticus (Nile tilapia). RNAcentral describes it as "lncRNA (ENSONIG00000030822.1)". Lineage: Eukaryota; Metazoa; Chordata; Actinopteri; Cichliformes; Cichlidae. The record is from RNAcentral.